Molecule: ribosomal RNA, 459 nt
Filed under: uncultured bacterium
Lineage: Bacteria
Description: bacterial SSU rRNA
Rfam family: Bacterial small subunit ribosomal RNA
Source: RNAcentral
AGGCAGCAGUGGGGGAAUAUUGCACAAUGGGCGCAAGCCUAAUGCAGCCAUGCCGCGUGUGUGAAGAAGGACCUUCGGGUUGUAAAGCACUUUCAGUCGUGAGGAAGGUAGUGUAGUUAAUAGCUGCAUUAUUUGACGUUAGCGACAGAAGAAGCACCGGCUAACUCCGUGCCAGCAGCCGCGGUAAUACGGAGGGUGCGAGCGUUAAUCGGAAUUACUGGGCGUAAAGCGCAUGCAGGUGGUUUGUUAAGUCAGAUGUGAAAGCCCGGGGCUCAACCUCGGAAUAGCAUUUGAAACUAGGCAGACUAGAGUACUGUAGAGGGGGGUAGGAAUUUCAGGUGUAGCGGUGAAAUGCGUAGAGAUCUGAAGGAAUACCGGUGGCGAAGGCGGCCCCCUGGACAGAUACUGACACUCAGAUGCGAAAGCGUGGGGAGCAAACAGGAUUAGAUACCCUGGUAG